UACGUAGGGGCCAAGCGUUGUUCGGAUUCAUUGGGCGUAAAGGGUGCGUAGGCGGCGCGGUAAGUCGGGUGUGAAAUCUCGGGGCUUAACUCCGAAACUGCAUUCGAUACUGCCGUGCUUGAGGACUGGAGAGGAGACUGGAAUUUACGGUGUAGCGGUGAAAUGCGUAGAUAUCGUAAGGAAGACCAGUGGCGAAGGCGGGUCUCUGGACAGUUCCUGACGCUGAGGCACGAAGGCCAGGGGAGCAAACGGG
RNAcentral lists this ribosomal RNA (253 nucleotides) under uncultured bacterium. Its description in RNAcentral is "partial 16S ribosomal RNA". It matches the Rfam family "Bacterial small subunit ribosomal RNA", at positions 524 to 776 of the family's 1533-position model. The record is from RNAcentral.